GCUCAAACCCGUCUGAACCCUUAUCAACUGCUCUCUCUCUCUCGCUUAUUCUUCUUCUCCUCCUCCACACAGACACAUACCUUGAGAGAGUGUGAAUGGCGAAGAAUGACGCGUCGUUGAGGAUCGGUGUAUGAGUUCUUGAAGUGGUGACGACUCGCCGUUAAUCUGAUCGCUCCAGAUCGUUCAGGUCGAUCCGGCAACGUUGAAAUUAAACGCCUCGUGGCCGCCGCCGCGAUCCACCCCCUCAUCACUGUGUGGAUACGCCGAUUACACAGACCCUGUUCACUUACCUGCUUUUGGGUGCUAAUUCUCACAUGGAUCUUCCUUGGCGCUCGAUAUUCCCUAUGGCAAUUGUUUGGUGCAGCCUUCUGUGUGGUUGAGCUUGGCAUAGUGCUCCUCUCUGAUGCAGGGGUGGCUGGUAGAGAAUAUACAAACAUGACACAUGGGCCGGGGUAAAAGAAAACAGAGAGAAGAAAGUGAAGAAGAGGAUAAUGAAGAAGAAACAUACCCAAUUGUAAACUCUAGCUUACUAAAUUUGUAUAUUUUUAUGGUGUCACUUUUAUGUUUAGUUUUCCUUAAGGAAACAUUAUUUUUAUAGACCUUUUGCAGCAGUUCAAGUUUUAGGCAUAU
Rosa rugosa (rugosa rose) is the source of this 630-nucleotide long non-coding RNA. RefSeq lists it as uncharacterized. The transcript has 3 exons. The record is from RefSeq and is a predicted model, not a curated record. Lineage: Eukaryota; Viridiplantae; Streptophyta; Magnoliopsida; Rosales; Rosaceae.